GAUAAACGCUGGCGGCGUGCCUAAUACAUGCAAGUCGAUCGAUGGAUGCCCAGCUUGCUGGGAGGAAAUAGAGGCGAACGGGUGAGUAAUACGUAAGCAACCUGCCACGAAGACCGGGAUAAUCCCUGGAAACGGGGACUAAGACCGGAUAGGUAACAGAACCGCAUGAUUCUGUUAUUAAGGUUAAAAAACACUGGUGGAUGGGCUUACGGUGCAUUAGCUGGUUGGUGAGGUAACGGCCCACCAAGGCGAUGAUGCAUAGCUGGUCUGAGAGGAUGAACAGCCACAUUGGGACUGAGACACGGCCCAGACUCCUACGGGAGGCAGCAGUAGGGAAUUUUCGGCAAUGGGGGAAACCCUGACCGAGCAACGCCGCGUGAGUGAAGAAGGUCUUCGGAUUGUAAAGCUCUGUUGUAAGGGAAGAAAUGUACUGUGAGAAACAGUACUUGACGGUACCUUACCAGAAAGCUACGGCUAACUACGUG
Molecule: ribosomal RNA, 485 nt
Filed under: uncultured bacterium
Lineage: Bacteria
Description: bacterial SSU rRNA
Rfam family: Bacterial small subunit ribosomal RNA
Source: RNAcentral